GCUCUCCUAGUAUACUAAUUACAAUUGACUUCCAAUCAUUAAAAUCUGGUGCAAAUCCAGAGAAGAGCA
RNAcentral lists this transfer RNA (69 nucleotides) under Chauna torquata (southern screamer). RNAcentral's name for it is "tRNA-Gly". It matches the Rfam family "tRNA". Rfam says of the family: Transfer RNA (tRNA) molecules are approximately 80 nucleotides in length. The record is from RNAcentral. Lineage: Eukaryota; Metazoa; Chordata; Aves; Anseriformes; Anhimidae.